UACGUAGGGUGCAAGCGUUGUCCGGAAUUAUUGGGCGUAAAGAGCUCGUAGGCGGUUUGUUGCGUCGGCUGUGAAAUCCCGAGGCUCAACCUCGGGUCUGCAGUCGAUACGAGCAAACUAGAGUGUUGCAGGGGAGACUGGAAUUCCUGGUGUAGCGGUGAAGUGCGCAGAUAUCAGGAGGAACACCGGUGGCGAAGGCGGGUCUCUGGGCCACUACUGACGCUGAGAAGCGAAAGCAUGGGGAGCGAACAGG
Molecule: ribosomal RNA, 253 nt
Filed under: uncultured bacterium
Lineage: Bacteria
Description: partial 16S ribosomal RNA
Rfam family: Bacterial small subunit ribosomal RNA
Source: RNAcentral